This is an RNA transcript of Mus musculus (house mouse), 3602 nucleotides long. It is a transcript of the gene named SECIS binding protein 2, with no coding region annotated. The record is from RefSeq and is marked reviewed. The transcript is spliced from 18 exons. Lineage: Eukaryota; Metazoa; Chordata; Mammalia; Rodentia; Muridae.
GUGACGUACGUCCUGGCGCCGCCGCGCAGGAAGGCGGAAACGCUGAGUCGUUGGUUAGGCGCGCCGCUAGCUUCACGGCGCGGGCUCUUCCGUGGCCGCCAUGGCGUCGGAGCGGCCGCGGGAGCCGGACGGCGAGGAUAGCAUCAAGUUGUCAGCUGAUGUCAAACCAUUCGUCCCUAAGUUUGCUGGGCUCAACGUGGCGUGGUCAGAGUCCUCAGAGACACGUGUCUUCCCAGGCUGUGCGGCCACCUACUAUCCAUUUGUACAGGAACCACCAGCAGCUGAACAGAAAAUGUAUCCCGAAGACAUGGCUUUCGGAGCCCCCACCUUUCCAGCACAGUACGUGUCUUCUGAGAUAGCGCUGCAUCCUUUUGCCUAUCCCACUUACACCCUAGAGUCCGCACAGAGUGUUUGCUCAGUGCCAACCCUGCAGUACGACUACAGCCAAGCACGGUGUCACCCAGGCUUUCGGACAGCAAAGCCCCGGCAUGAGCACGUGUGCCCUCCACCUCAGGAAGCAAAAGGUGUAUUUAAGAAAAAACCCUCUGAUGAGAGAAGAGCAUGUGAAGAGCAAAAGUCAAGCAGCAGAAGGGCUGACAAUGCGGUGCCCUGUGAGGCGAGACCAGCCAGGGGGUCCAGUCACCUGUCCUCUCGAACUGAGAGCAGUUUGAAAUCUGAUGGUUACCACAAGCGACCCGACCGCAAGUCCAGAAUCCUUGCGAAGAGUGCAUCUACCUCUAAACCUGAAUUUGAGUUUAGUAGGUUAGACUUUCCUGAACUGCAGAGUCCAAAGAACAGUAACAUGCCAGAGACACAGAAGCCGCCCAGGUGGGGGCCUCUUGGCCCUGCUGCCAGUAACAUGCCUCUCCUAGGAGACGUCGGCAAGCCCGUCGCAGAUAUGGUAGAGGGCAAAAUGGUGAAGAGCGAUCACACUGAUGGAGCUGUGACCAGUAAUGCCACUACCAGUUCCCCUUCAUGUACCCAAGAGUUGUCUUGGACACCAAUGGGUUAUAUUGUUCGGCAGACAGUGUCUUCAGAUUCAGCAGCAGCCACUGAAAAUGUGACUUCCAUGAUAAACCUAAAGAAGACUACUUCAUCAGCUGAUGCUAAAAAUGUUAGUGUGACAUCUGAGGCUUUAUCUUCAAAUCCUUCCUACAACAGAGAAAAGCGUGUUUAUCCUGCUCCAAAGGCCAAAGCAUCACAAGGAGGUGAACUUGAACAAAACGAAAGCUCCAAAAAGAAUAAGAAAAAGAAAGAGAAGUCUAAACCGAGUUAUGAAGUCCUGACGGUUCAGGAGCCGCCAAGGAUUGAAGAUGCAGAGGAAUUCCCCAACCUGUCAGUUGCGUCGGAAAGAAGACACAGAGGGCAAUCACCGAAGCUUCACAGUAAACAGCAGACGCAGAAUGAAUUUAAAACAAGUGGGAAGAAGAGCCAGGUCCCAGUGCAGCUGGACCUGGGGGGCAUGCUGGCCGCGCUGGAGAAGCAGCAGCAGCAGCAGCACGCCUCGCACGCCAAGCCAUCCUCCAGACCCGUCGUGUUCUCAGUUGGAGCAGUGCCAGUCCUGUCCAAGGAUGCCUCCUCCAGUGAGAGGGGACGCCGCUCCAGUCAGAUGAAGACCCCACACAACCCCCUGGACUCCAGUGCCCCCCUGAUGAAGAAGGGGAAGCAGAGGGAGAUACCUAAGGCCAAGAAGCCCACCUCACUGAAGAAGAUAAUUUUGAAAGAACGGCAAGAGAGGAUGCAGCAGCGACUCCAAGAAAGUGCUGUGAGCCUGACGGUGGCCAGUGAUGACUCACAGGAUGUGGAGAGUGGCGCCAGUAACCAAACCCCCAGUCAGGACAACCCCACAGGUCCAGAGAAGACAGAAGAAUCAGUGUCUUCUACACCUGUGGUUGAGGGUGAGUCAGAGGAGCCAGCUGGCACAGAGUUCCAGAGGGACCCAGAGGCUUGCCAGCCUGCCCCUGACAGUGCCACCUUCCCCAAGAUCCACAGCCGGAGGUUCCGGGACUACUGCAGCCAGAUGCUUAGUAAAGAAGUAGAUGCUUGUGUCACGGGUCUGCUCAAGGAGCUGGUGCGCUUCCAAGACCGCAUGUACCAGAAGGAUCCCGUCAAGGCCAAGACAAAACGGCGGCUCGUGCUGGGGCUGAGGGAGGUCCUGAAACACCUGAAGCUCAGGAAGCUGAAGUGCAUCAUCAUCUCUCCCAACUGUGAGAAGACCCAGUCUAAAGCAGUUAGCCUGACCUGGAAGAAGGCUUUGUGUAAGGUGAUAGUGAACUUCCCAUCAUGACUCUGGGAGGACUUGCCUGACAUCCUGUGUCCUGGGUUCCAUGGCGGAAGGAGUCAUUAGGAAGAUGCUGUCAUUCACACACCCUCUUCAUCCAGUUAGAACUGCGAGUGAGGGGAAUAUUUGGGACACAUGAGCCAUCAUCUCCCUGGACUGUUCCAUUCUCCCGUGGGUAACCUUCAGCUCGGCCAAAGUCACACUUUGAGGUGGGCUGGACGACACGCUGCACACCAUCAUCGACUGCGCCUGCGAGCAGAACAUCCCCUUCGUGUUUGCACUCAAUCGCAAGGCUCUGGGGCGGAGCCUGAAUAAAGCUGUUCCUGUCAGCAUUGUAGGGAUCUUCAGCUACGAUGGGGCCCAGGACCAGUUCCACAAGAUGGUUGAGCUGACCAUGGCAGCCCGUCAGGCAUACAAGACCAUGUUGGAGACAAUGCGGCAGGAACAGGCAGGAGAACCUGGACCUCAGUCCCCUCCCAGCCCACCCAUGCAAGACCCCAUCCCAUCCACGGAAGAAGGCACCCUCCCUUCCACUGGAGAAGAGCCACACUACAUUGAGAUUUGGAAAAAGCACCUGGAAGCGUACAGUCAGCGUGCCCUGGAGCUGGAAGACUCACUGGAGGCGUCAACCUCUCAGAUGAUGAACUUGAAUUUAUAAGAAGAGUUCUUGCCUGUGUGUCUGUGUAUUGGGUAAGGAUGGGAGAGGCAGGAAAAGACUUCCUUCUCAGUUCUUUACUGACAUGAUGUAUUUAUGUGACUGUAGAGUUGGAAAUUCACUGGGCCUCAGGGCAAAGGAAGCACCUGGUUGUAGCACUGAGUCCAUCAGAUGGGCACUCAGAUGCGCCCGUGGGCACCUUUCCUUAAGAGCCUAUUGAUCAGCUUCGGUUCUUUCUCUCUGCACUCUGGAUCUGGAAAACGCUGGAGAACGUGGUCCUGGGUACCGUGGCUGCCUAGGACCCACUAUUACAGUGCUGCUCAACCAAGUUUGGGGAUGGUGAACCAGGAGCUGUGCUCCGGGGUGUGCAGGGCCCUUCCUCGGGGGUGGAGUCCUGCCAUUGUGCUGCCAAGGAUUUGCUAAGAUGAGCCUCAGAAGAAAAUUAGUUUCUAACAUGACUUUUUGACAUAAAUUAAUGCUUUUAGUUUUUAUUUUCCAAAGAAGCAGUAUAUAUCAAAUUUGUAGAUUUCAGUUUGGUGUCUACAAAUCUUUUUAAUGAACAUAGGAUGAAUGUGUUUCUGUCCUAGAGGACAGAGCUUACUAACAUAUUUUCCUGCAAGCAAGAGGGCUUAUUUGUUUUGAAUAAAGAGUGAUUAUUUAAUUUCA